UACGUAGGGUGCAAGCGUUACUCGGAAUUACUGGGCGUACAGCGUGCGCAGGCGGUUAUGCAAAACAGAUGUGAAAUCCCCGGGCUUAACCUGGGAACCGCAUUUGUGACUGCAUAGCUGGAGUACGGCAGAGGGGGAUGGAAUUCCGCGUGUAGCAGUGAAAUGCGUAGAUAUGCGGAGGAACACCGAUGGCGAAGGCAGUCCCCUGGGCCUGUACUGACGCUCAUGCACGAAAGCGUGGGGAGCAAACAGG
Molecule: ribosomal RNA, 253 nt
Filed under: uncultured bacterium
Lineage: Bacteria
Description: partial 16S ribosomal RNA
Rfam family: Bacterial small subunit ribosomal RNA
Source: RNAcentral